UACAGAGGGGGCAAGCGUUGUUCGGAAUUACUGGGCGUAAAGGGUGCGUAGGUGGCGCCGUAAGUCGGGUGUGAAAUUUCGGAGCUUAACUCCGAAACUGCAUUCGAUACUGCGGUGCUUGAGGACUGGAGAGGAGACUGGAAUUCAUGGUGUAGCAGUGAAAUGCGUAGAGAUCAUGAGGAAGACCAGUGGCGAAGGCGGGUCUCUGGACAGUUCCUGACACUGAGGCACGAAGGCCAGGGGAGCAAACGGG
This 253-nucleotide ribosomal RNA is filed under the name uncultured bacterium. RNAcentral describes it as "partial 16S ribosomal RNA". It matches the Rfam family "Bacterial small subunit ribosomal RNA", at positions 524 to 776 of the family's 1533-position model. The record is from RNAcentral.